RNAcentral lists this ribosomal RNA (356 nucleotides) under Serratia fonticola. Its description in RNAcentral is "partial 23S ribosomal RNA". It matches the Rfam family "Bacterial large subunit ribosomal RNA", at positions 1 to 393 of the family's 2925-position model. The record is from RNAcentral. Lineage: Bacteria; Pseudomonadati; Pseudomonadota; Gammaproteobacteria; Enterobacterales; Yersiniaceae.
GGUUAAGUGACUAAGCGUACACGGUGGAUGCCUAGGCAGUCAGAGGCGAUGAAGGGCGUGCUAAUCUGCGAAAAGUGUCGGUAAGGUGAUAUGAACCGUUAUAACCGGCAAUACCCGAAUGGGGAAACCCAGUGUGUUUCGACACACUAUCGUAUGGUGAAUACAUAGCCAUACGAGGCGAACCGGGGGAACUGAAACAUCUAAGUACCCCGAGGAAAAGAAAUCAACCGAGAUUCCCCUAGUAGCGGCGAGCGAACGGGGAACAGCCCAGAACCUGAAUCAGUUCUUGUGUUAGUGGAAGCGUCUGGAAAGUCGCGCAGCAAAGGGUGAUAGCCCCGUACACUAAAAUGCAUUAA